GGGGGCUAAUACCGAAUAUGACCUUUCCUCGCAUGAGGUUUGGUGGAAAGUUUUUCGGCCUGGGAUGGGCUCGCGGCCUAUCAGCUUGUUGGUGGGGUGAUGGCCUACCAAGGCGACGACGGGUAGCCGGCCUGAGAGGGCGACCGGCCACACUGGGACUGAGACACGGCCCAGACUCCUACGGGAGGCAGCAGUGGGGAAUAUUGCACAAUGGGCGGAAGCCUGAUGCAGCGACGCCGCGUGAGGGAUGACGGCCUUCGGGUUGUAAACCUCUUUCAGCAGGGACGAAGCGGAAGUGACGGUACCUGCAGAAGAAGCGCCGGCCAACUACGUGCCAGCAGCCGCGGUAAGACGUAGGGCGCGAGCGUUGUCCGGAUUUAUUGGGCGUAAAGAGCUCGUAGGCGGCUUGUCGCGUCGACCGUGAAAACUUGGGGCUCAACCCCAAGCCUGCGGUCGAUACGGGCAGGCUAGAGUUCGGUAGGGGAGACUGGAAUUCCUGGUGUAGCGGUGAAAUGCGCAGAUAUCAGGAGGAACACCGGUGGC
This 543-nucleotide ribosomal RNA is filed under the name Micromonospora sp. RNAcentral describes it as "bacterial SSU rRNA". It matches the Rfam family "Bacterial small subunit ribosomal RNA", at positions 158 to 716 of the family's 1533-position model. The record is from RNAcentral. Lineage: Bacteria; Bacillati; Actinomycetota; Actinomycetes; Micromonosporales; Micromonosporaceae.